Molecule: long non-coding RNA, 15787 nt
Filed under: Populus trichocarpa (black cottonwood)
Lineage: Eukaryota; Viridiplantae; Streptophyta; Magnoliopsida; Malpighiales; Salicaceae
Description: long non-coding RNA (PTRI_LNC001017)
Source: RNAcentral
CUAAACAAGAACUUCCGGAAAUAACUAAAGAAGAAGCUAAUCUACGUUGGCCAUAAGCGCAACCUGCAUUGUCGGAUGGUGCAAAAUGUUAAUUAAAACACUAGUUUUUGGUAUUAUAAGUGCAUAAAUUCUAUAGCAUUGCAACUUGAGUAUAUCAUCAAUCUACUUUGUAAUUGUAACAUAUACAACACAAUCACAGGUCACCUCACAAUAAAUCUUCGAUCUAUGGCUAAUUAUAACAUCUAUAUUGGUAUUAAUUAAUUCAAUAAUGAAAACUUCUUUGAGCAGGUUAUGAUACCCUUGGGAAAAAUAAGCACAGUCAACCCAGUAAUCAUGAAAGAAAGUCCACCAGAGAAGUACAUUCAGAUUGUCACCAUUGACGGGCACGAAUUCUGGUUCAUGGGUUUCGUCAAUUUUGAGAAGGCAUCCCACCAUCUCUUAGAGAAGGCGUCGAAUCUCAGGGAAGCAGAAUACGCAAUUCAGCCCGUUGUUGUUUAGCCGAUUAUGUAAUUACAGUUGGAUACUCCAUGGCGUUCAAAUUUUUGCUUAUCUUGUUUGUUGUGUAUUUCUUGUUGUAGCAUGAAUCGCUUUUUAUUAGCUUCUGAAUUAUUCUUAAUUUUCUGUUGUGUAUUUACCUAUAACCUUUUUUUUUCAAAGAUGUCGUAAUAAUAUGCAUGUUAGAAUUCAAGUUGCGUUUGGAUGCAUGUUCUAAAUUUCCUACGCACAAAGACCAAGCUUGAAAAUUACUCCAUUAUGCAUACUUAAUUCCACCGCUUGCAUGCAAUGUCCAUGGAUGAAAAAGACGAUGGAGCUUAUUUCAUGUUUUCAACGUUUGAUGGUAAAAUAAGAAAACAAUCUUAAAAUUCAAAACGGUGGAGAGCUAGCAGAGGCGUGCUCACUUCUCCUACUUGGUUAAUUAAGCAUUAAGCACUAACAGUCCCAACAAAAUCUUUAGAGGAUGAAGAAUCUUAGAUGAAAUUUGGGUCAAAUCCUGCAAUGAUGGGUAGGAUGAUCUGGUACAUCAUUUUUCAGGGAUUUUAUUUAUUCUUAAUAUAUUUUAUAUUUUUUAAUUGGGCUAUAACAAUCCUAUAGCGUCACUGAAUUGAUUAUCGCAGGGGACAAGUCAGAGGGCAUGGAUUCAAAACUGGGAGCGCAAAUUAACUAAUAUUGAAAAGGUGUUGGAAAAUUACUGUAGAUUACAACAAUAAUUUAUAGUGUAUUUAUUUUUCGUUGUAUUUUGUCAAUUUUUUCCCAACUUUCUUCUUUUUUUUUCCAAAAUUACUUUCUUUUUUUUUUCAAAAUUACUUUUUUUUUUCAAAAUUAUUUUUGUUGAUUUUGCUUUUUAAAUAUUAAGCUGAUUAAAAAUUUCACUUUAUAAUUUUUUCUCUUUGAAAUACUGUGGAUUCCUGCGGUUUUUUCCCAUAUAGUUUUUUUAUUUUAUUUUUUUAUUUUUCAAAAUUAUAUUUGUCGAUUUUUUUUAAUAUUGAGUUGAUUGAGAAUUUAGUUUGGUAAUAUUUUUUCUUUAAAACAUUAUUGAUUGCUACAGUGUUUCUCCGCAUGGUUUUUUUUUUUUGUUUUUUUAUGAUUUUCUCCUAAAUUAUCUUUUUUUUAUUUUAUUUUUUAAUAUUUAGCUGAUUAAAAAUUACAGUUACAAUAUGUGAGGAAAUCACUGUAACUUUCCUCGCAGAUUACUGUGGAUUGCUACAGUGUUUUUUCCCACAUGAUUUUUUUCUGUUUUGUUAUGUUUUUUCUUCUAAAAUUGUCUUUGUUAAUUUUAUUUUUUAAAUAUUAAGCUGGUUAAAAAUUGCAAUUACAAGUAAAUACAAGUUUUUCCUCACAAAAUACUAUGGAUUGAUACAGUUUUUCCUCACAUGGUUUUUUUCCAGUUUCUUUUGUGUUUUCAUUUUUUGUAAUAUUUUUUUUCAAAAUUAUCUUUGUUGAUUUUAUUUUUUUUAAUUUUGAGUUUGUUAUAAUUUAACUUUGUAAUAAAGCUUAAUCAUGUGGGGAAAGCACUGUAGCUUUCCUUACAAAACAUUGUGGAUUGCUACAGUGGCUCUUCACAUGGUUUUUUUUUUCUUAUAAUUUUUUUCAAAAUUAUCUUUGUCAAUUUUAUUUUUUUAAUAUUGAGCUGUUUGAGAAUUACAAUUACAAAUAAAGCUAAAUCAUGUGGGGAAGCAUUGUAGCUUUCAUUACAAAACACUGUGAAUUUCUACAGUGUUUCCAACAUGAUUCCCACCCUUUUUUUGUUAUUUUUUUUUCUAAAAUUAUCUCUGUCGAUUUGUUUUUAAUAUUUAGCUGAUUAAGAAUUUAGUUUUGUAAUUUUUUUCUUUAAAACACUGUCAAUUGUUGCAGUGUUUUCCUAUAUGAUUUUUUUGUGAUUUUUUUUUAAAUUAUCUUUGUUGAUUUUUUUUAAAUAUUGAGUUGGUUAAGAAUUAUAAUUACAAUAAAGCUAAAUCAUAUGGGAAAAACGUUGUAGUUUUUCUCACAAAACACUAUGGAUUGCUACAGUAUUUCUUUAAAUGGUUUUUUAUUUUAUUUUAUUGGGGAAAACACUGUAGUUUUCCUCACAAAACAUUGUCACUUGCUACAAUGUUUUUUCUCAUUGGUUUUUUUUCCUUCCAAAAGUAUCUUUGUUGGUUUUUUUUAAUAUUAAGUUGGUAGAGAAUUUAGCUUUGUAUUUUUUUUCUUUUUAUUAACAGAAAAGCUAAAUAAUGUAGCGAAAGCACUAUAUCUUUCCUCACAAAACACUGUGAAUUGCUACAAAUCAUUUUGUUCAGUCUCUAAGUUUUUGAUUACCAACACAAUUUUUUUUUUCCGUCAUGAAAUAUUUGCUCCAUCAUACCUUUAGUUUCUAUUACUUAUCUAGCGCUGAUUCACAAUUAUAACACUAUCAAGUGCGUUUGUUUUAUAAGCCCGCGGCAGAGCGCAGACAUGUCAUCUCGUAUUUUCUAAAUUGUGUCAUGUUUUUUUUUAAAAAAAUAACCUUAAUAAAAAAAAAGAAAGGUUAGACACUAAUAAUAUAUACUACAUAAAACUCGAUUGAAAAUAGUUUUUUUAUUAUUAAGAAUUUAAAUUAAUUUUGAAUGUGAUUUUAUCAUAUUUAUAUUUUUUUAGCUUUUAAUCAUACAAAAAUAUAAACAUGCUAUUUUGAGAUAAUUUAUUAACUUGCUUUAACAAUCAUAAAUUAUUAUUUUUUAAACAGAAAAAAUAAUUCGUAUUAAAAACAUUGCAUUAAUCAAAAUAAACAAAAAAUACAUUAAUAGAAAAAUUUAUCUCCAUAAAAUAAAUUCAAAACAACUAUAUUUUCAUGUUUAUAAAGAAUACAUCAAUACCAAAGAAUUUUCUUAAACUUAUACAUUUUUUUUUCAUAUUUAAAAAAAAUUAAAUCCCCUCGCAACAUAUCGUGGAUAUACAAACCAGUAUAAACUAAAAGAGCAGCCAAUUUUAUUCUUAUUUUACCAUUUCUCAACAUUUAACUAUACUGUAAAUUGACACAGUGCACCUAAGUCUAAUCUUUUUUUUUUCUUCUAGUUGUUGCAAAUCCUUCAUUCGAUUUUAGUCAAUGAACUGUUAAGUAAUUAAUCACUUGAAGCUCAAAUUAAUUCUAUUGUUUAUAUAUAUAUAUAUAAACAAGUGAGUUUUUUAAGUUUAUGUUUCUUUUAAUUUGACCUUUUUUCAUAUUUUUUCAAUAUAUUUUAAAAAUAUCGUUUCGGUGCAAUUCAUUUUAUAAUUGUUCGGUACUUUUACAUAUUUUAUUUGUAGUGUGAAGUUUUUUUUUUUAAAAAAAAAAAAAGAGUUAGUGAUGAAAUGAUAAAUAAAAGGAAAAGAAAAACCAAAAUAAACAGGAAAGUUUUGCCUAUCUCUCAAAGUAACUAAAAGAUAAGAGAAGGAGGAAGAAUAUAAGAAAGAAGAUGAUGAAAAAAAAAAAGUGGUUAAAUAGGACUGGUAAGCAGGGAAGGAGGAACCAAUGCUCAUUUUUUUGUCCACUUAGAUAAAGCACGGAACUCAUAGCAAUCGAAGAAGAAUCCUUUGUUUUGGGAGGAAGGAAGAAGAUACGGCGGAACGAAGGAAGUUCUUUAGAAAGAGACUUUGAUUCUCGACUAAGAUGCCCGAAGAAGGCAGAGUCUGUUAGAGCAGAUAGUGAAACCCUAGGCUUCAAACCUUGAUUUAUUUCUAUUUCUUCAAAAAGACAAGAAGGAGCGCCACUGAUAAGGGGCGGUUAGGAAGAACUCCGUCGCUGAGAAAUGCCCUCCUUUCGGCUUCGCCUUGUGAUCAGAACCAAGACAGAUGGUUUUGGUACAGAAUAGAAAUGUCACCAAAACCACCUUAUCAGUGGAUCUCUCUCCGUCCUAUCAUACCUCUAGCAAACAACAAAGAUGAACUUCGAGCUAUUUCCCAUUCAAAAAAAUAUUACGUUACAAUUCAAAGCUUCGUUAAACGAGACGGAAGAUAUUAUAUUUAUCUCAUGGAACGAGCUAUCUUCAGGUCCUAGUCCAAAAUCAUUCUUUUAGUUUAGAUUCUAUCAAUUUUAGAAAAUUGAAACAACAGGGAUCAGCAAUGACACGACCAAACAAAUGCAGCCCCUUUUCACUUUGGCAUGGAAAAGUACAAGUUGAUCCUUGUAGUUUUAAGUUUUUAAUUUUAUCAUGCAUUUUGCCUAGAUGGACUGGGCUAAGAGUUUAUGCAGUGAAAGUGACUCAACUUUUCACACUAAGAGGAUAACACCUUCUUAGAGUGUCGGUCAGGGGUGUGAUGAAUUUUAUGGAAAAAAAAUAUCUGUUUAUAUUAAAGAUUAAAAAUAUGUUAAUGAAAAUUCAAAAAUACGUUUUCUAUUUAUAUUAUUUUUAAUAAAUUUUUAACAUGAUCUUAUAGCAUUAAUUAAAUUUGUUUAUCUUUAAUUUCAUACAAAAUAUUAAAUAUUAUUCUAAAUAAAAUUUUUUUUAUAAAAAAGGAGUACUAAUUUCUAUAAUUAUAUAUUUGAUAUUAUGAUAAUUUUUAUUUUUUAAAAUUGUUUUUAUAUAAAAAAUAUUAAAUUAAUAAUUUUUUAGAUAUUUUAUUAAUUUGUUGAUGCAAAGCAGACAAACCUUCUUUUCUAUCCGUGAUAAUAUCAAGCGGUGCUUUGACAAUGGCACCCCUUUUGCAAAAUAUCUAAAAAGAGCAUGAUUUAUAUGGCUAGCUAAGAGGCUGAACACGUUCUUGCUAAUCUAGAAGGUUGAUCUUUCAUCUUUCUUCAUUGCAAAGAAAACGAAACCGUGUCUGCAAAAUAUCUAAAAAGAGCAUGAUUUAUAUGGCUAGCUAAGAGGCUGAACACGUUCUUGCUAAUCUAAAAGGUUGAUCUUUCAUCUUUCUUCAUUGCAAAGAAAACGAAACCGUGUCUGCAAAAUUAUAUAUUAUGGAUAACCCAUGAAUUGAACUUCUAUAAAUCAACAGUUUAUUAGCACCAAUCAAACCAUUAAAUCUUCCAAAGAGUUCUCACUGAAUAAGAUAACCAAUCUUGAUGUGCCGUUUUUUGUGUUUUCCCCCUUUACCUUCCAUUCAAUUCCAUUUAGUAAAGAUGACAGGCACUCCUCAAGAGACAGAAACCCAACAAGUAUCAUCUGCCACUGUCACGGAGGAAUCCCACCCUAAUGAUCACCCACCAGCAUCGGAUGAGAAACCCAAUAAAUGGGGCACCCACAUCAUGGGACCAGCAGCAGCUCCUAACGUCCACCCUGACAACCAACAGGCUGCCUUAUGGAAUGCCAGUGAGCACCAGCAAAUCCCCGAGCACCCAUACCUGGUUUAUACUCCCAUUGACAAAUCAGAAAAGUCAACCCAGAAAUCUUUUGAACCUGUGAUCCAUAAGUUUCAGGAAUGGGGCAAGAAGGCAGAGACCGUAGCCCGUAACAUGUGGCACAAUCGUAAGUUGAUGUUCACAAACCAUGAAAUAUUAAAUUUAGCUAAUUGAUCAUCACUGUGACUGUGACCAUGAUAGAGUAGCGAUUUUCUGGCAUCAAAGCGGACAACAAAUUUAGUUCAAGUGUAUCUUCCAAUCUUAUUUCUGAUCUGUUUUAACACGCACCUGCACAUACACUUUAAUGCAGUUAGCACAGGGCCAUCUGUGCCACAAACUGCCUGGGGUAAGGUAAACCUGACGGCGAAAGCAAUAACAGAGGGUGGCUUUGAGUCUCUCUUCAAGCAUAUAUUUGAAACCGAUCCUAAUGAGAAGCUGAAGAAGACUUUUGCUUGUUACCUCUCAACAUCUACUGGCCCUGUUGCCGGGACGCUCUAUCUAUCAACUGCUCGAGUCGCGUUCUGCAGCGACCGUCCUCUGUGCCAUACUGCUCCUUCAGGGGAGGAGGCCUGGAGCUACUACAAGGUAAAUACAUCGCUAGACACCAAGUCGGAUAGAUUUUACCACAUUCAUAGCUAUUAUUAUAUAUAGUUAAGCUCUGUUAAAUUCCAAACAAAAGGUGAAGUUGAGAGAAAUCGUGCAUCUAUAAAAGGGUAGUUCACGGAGAUACAGCAAAACAAAACUAAAUAUAUUUGGCAAUCAAAGCUCAAACUAAAUUUUCUAUCUUGCUAUAGUCAUCCGUGUAUAUCAUGGUAGUACUUAAUGAAUUCAAUAAUAACUUAUUUUGAGCAGGUUAUGAUACCCUUGGACAAAAUAAGCACAGUCAGCUCGGAGAUCAUGCUGGAAAAUCCAUCAAGGAAGUACAUUCAAAUUGUCAGCACCGAUGGGCACGACUUCUGGUUUAUGGGUUUCGUUAAUUUCGAGAAAGCCUUGCAAAAUCUAUCAGAGAGCGUGUCGAGUUUCAAGGAAGCAGGAAUUGCAAUUCAACCAGUUGUUGCUUAGCCAAUGAUUGCAUUUGGAGUUGAAUCCUUCAAAAUUUUGAUUUUCACUGUUUCUAGUGGAUUUAUUGUUUGUUGCCUGAAGGGAGCUUUCCUUUAGUCUUCCUCUUGUCAUUCUUUUAUUCUUGUCGCACCCUACAUCGCGACAACCUUAAAAAUUUAUCAUGAAAUAAAAUGGAUUUCUGGUAUCCUGUUUUUUAAUGGGGAACGGUUUUGUUUAAGGAGUCGCCACCUAGUAUUAUGGUCACUAGAAACCCUAACUGGUCAACAGAGAUUCUAUGGUACGAGACUGGUUACGUAAAAGGAAAGAUACUAUCACCCCUUAAACGUCCUGCCUGAGGCAGGCUGCAUUGCUGGUUUUGUCAUAAAUUGCUAACAUUUUGUUGGUUUAUGUUAUGAUGGUUUGUGUGUAAUAUUCCUGACUCUGACGCUAGUGAAUAUUUAACUACAGAUAUUUCCAACUCUGGCGUUGGUAAAUAUUACGCGGCUAUAAAAACAAAAUAAAUCUAAAUCAGUAUUUUUUAUUCCUGACUCUGGCGUCAGUGAAUAAACAAAUCAAAUAAAUUUAUUUUUUACGCAUACACAUUUUUUUAUGUAACUAAAUAAAAGUAAAAUACAAUAAAAUAAAAUAAAUUUACAUCAAUAUCUUUAUUCCUGACUCUGGCGUCAGUGAAUAAACCAAUAAAUUUAUUUUAUUUUUGCAUUCAUAUUUUUUAUUUUUAUGUAAUUUAAAUAAAAUACAAUGAAAUAAAUUUGAAUCAAUAUUUUUAUUCUAACUCUAGCAUCAAUGAAAAAAAAAAUUCAUAUUUAUUUUUUUAUUUAUACAUACACACAUCUUUGUUUUUUUGUUUUGUUUUUUUGGACUGGGCUGGACCCAGCCAGCCCGGCCCGGGUCACUGGCCCAAGCCAGUGACCCGGCUGGGCAAAAUGUGGAGCACGCGUGAAGUGAUUUCACGCGUGCAUUCACUGUGCGAAGGUAGUACAGUGUUCUUUGAUCAUUUAAUUUCAAAGAACGCAAAGGGAUGAAGAGCUGGCGUACCUGCUUCUAGAGUGGCGAAGAUGGCUGCAACGCUGGUGGUGACUUUCGCCUGCUUGAUACCUUUACUUCUGCCUUCCCUUUUUGCUCCUGUUUCCACGGUCUGCUUUCGUUUUCCAGCAGAUUUUGAGAUAAUGAAGGAACCGAGAACGAAGGUGCCGGCUUCUGUGGAUACUGAUUUUUGGGUCGUUUUCUGCAGGGAUGAAAGCAAUGGCAGAACCCAUUAUCCUCUCCGUGUUGUUCCUCUGCUUUUCUUUUGUUUCAAUUCGUGCUCUGCCUUCCCCUGUUUUCUGGUUUUUUUCUCUGGGUUUUGCUCCAGUUCUCUCCUCUGGUUCUUUUUUUUCCCCCCUGGUUCUGUUUUUUUCGUCUAGGUUUAGCUUGAGUUUUUCCUCGGUUUCUCCUUCAAACCCCCCUGCUUUUCUUCCUCUGUUUUCUGGGUUUUUCUUCUCUGGUUUUUCGUUUCCCCCCCCCCCCCCCUCUCGCUCUGGGUUUUUCUUCCCCUUUUAUAGAGACCCAGCAGCUUGCCUCUAACCAGUCCUGCCUUUGCAGGACUGUUAUCUUCCACGAACGAGAUCGUGGGCAAGAGACGUGGUCCACGAUUGGAUCUGUUGCAGAUUUUCAGGUCUCCGGUUGAAUCGGGAUGAAGAAGAUCACACGACUGUUCCACCAGCAAUGGCGACGUUUCGGCUAAAAGACACAUUUUCAUUUUGACCCCUGCUUCUUUGGAAAUUCGGCAAUUGGAUCUCUAAGCAAUUAAAAAUUUAUUUUAAUUUUGCCCUUUUGGAUUAAUUUCAAUUAAAUACCUAAAUUAUAACACUGUUUACAAAACAGUCCUUAAUUCCCGGAUUGUUCAAUUUGGCCUUUAAUUAAAUCUUUAACUUUUAAUUCUUUCAAAAUUGAUCAAUUAACUCUCAAAUUUUAUAAUUACAUCCCCAAACUUCAAAUUUUGUGUUGUCUUAACCCCAUUGUCAACUAUAUUUAAUUUUUAUUAUUUUGUUCAAAAAUUGGGUUAAGACAGUUGCCUUCUCUUUAUAAUAUUUACAAUACAAAGACAUUGAAAAAUUUCAUUUUCUUGAGCUUUGUGUGGUAAAUUUAUAAAAAAAAAAUGUAGACAAAUUUUUUUUUGUUUUUGUUUUUUUAAGUCUUGAAAACUUCGAAAACAUAUGACUUUUACAGAGAGAACAGGUCAUUUGGAAGACAGCCCAUUUUUGAUUUUUUUGUUUUUUUUUUUGAAAUGAAUCAAAUUGUUUUGGGCAUCCAGCCCGAUGAUAAAAGAAACGCGAAGAAUUUCGCGAGUGGUCUAAUUGUUCCAGGCGACCUGCCCGAUAAAGAAUAAAACGCGAAAAUGGUUUCGCAAGUGGUCUAAUUGUUCCAGGCGACCUGCCCGAUGAUUGAAAAAUACGAGGAUUUUUCAUGAUGAUCACAUUGUAAUGGGUUACCUGCCCAGAUGGUUACAUUGUAAUGAGUUACCUGCCCAGUGAACAAAUACGAGGAUUUUUCAGGAUGGUACAUUGUAAUGGGUUACCAGCCCAGAUGGUCACAUUGUAAUGGGUUACCUGCCCAGUGAAAAAAUACGAUGAUUUUUUCAAAAGAAGACGUGAUAGGGCUCGAAGGCGCAUUGUUCAAUAGAUGGAAGCUCGAAGGUAAUGAGGGCUCGGAGGCGCGCUCAAAAGGAAAUGAGAGCUCGAGGGCGCACUCAAAAGGAGGUAGGGUUAGGAAAGGCAUUACCUUUAAUGGCCGAGGACUCGAAGGCGCACUCGAAAAGAAAUGAGGUGAGGGCUCAAAGGCGCACUCAAAAGGAGGUAGGAUAGGAAACACACUACCUUUGAUGGUCGAGGGCUCGAAGGCGCGCUCGAAAAGAAAUGAGGUGAGGGCUCGAAGGCGCCCUCAAAAGGAGGUAGGAUAGAAAAUGCACUACCUUUGAUGGUCGAGGGCUCGAAGGCACACUCGAAAGGAGGUAGGGUAGGAAACACACUACUUUUGAUGGUCGAGGGCUCGAAGGCGCACUCGAAAAGAAAUGAGGUGAGGGCUCGAAGGCGCACUCAAAAGGAGGUAGGAUAGGAAAUGCACUACCUUUGAUUGUCGAGGGCUCAAAGGCGCACUCGAAAGGAGGUAAGGUAGGAAACGCACUACCUUUGAUGGUCGAGGGCUCGAAGGCGCACUCGAAAAAAAAAAUGAGAUGAGAGCUCGAAGGCGCACUCAAAAGAAGGUAGGGUAAGAAACGCACUACCUUGGGAAUGGAAAAUGAAAGGUGGUGGAAAAAUACAGAGAUUUUUCAGGUGGCCUAAUUCUCAUUGGCGGCCUGCCCAGGUUGAAAAAUUCUCAAAAGUGAAAAAUUUUCAAAAGCAAUUUCAAUGUUCGCCAUUUCAAGUUGGCCUUCCACUUGAUGAAUUUCGUUAGAAUUUUCUCUUAUGAAAUUUGCAAAACUUAUUGUACAAUGUCUCAAAGUUUAAAUGAUAUGCAUGCAUCUUUACCUGAUUUGAAAUAUAGGCCCCCCAUUUCUUCGUAGUCUUCUUGUUGCUUGGUUGGUGAGAUCUUGUCAUCUUUAUCGUUUGGCUUUCUAGCCCACUCGAGUUAGCCCAUAUAAGUCUUUUUCCAGAUUUGUUUGCACAACUCAAGCUUUGUGGUGCCCAUCGUGACCCACUUGCUUGCUAAAGAUUUUCUGACUCGUCAAAUAAUUUGAGAGGAUCAUUCAUUACCCCUCGUCUCACUGCUAAAAACAUUCGGUGUCACUAGUUGAAAGGAUCAAUCUGUCUUUUAUAAACCAAAAUGCCCCCUUGUCUUGUUGAAGGAAAUUAACAUCUCCUUUUCUAGAAUUUUUCCUUCUAAACACAAUGUUGCCCCCUUGUAUUGGUCAUUGCCCCUAAGUGUGCUCUGUCAGCGACUUAGACAAAUAAUGGUUUUAAGAGGUCAUUCUUUCAUUUCUCUCCUUUUCAGUUUGGUGAAGGAAUAUGGGUCUAGAAUGAAUCUUGAAAUCUUGAUCUUGCAUUUUGAAAACAAAAAUUAUUUCGAUGUGAGUCUAAAACAAUUUGCUUUUGAAAUCUUGCAACUCCUUGGUUAUUUUCUUUCUUGGAAAAGAGAUUAUUUGCUCUUGUGUUUGGCAAUGAGGUCUUCGGUAAAAAUACGUCAUGAGAUGACCUUUUGUUUUUAUAGGUUUUCAAAGUGGAGGGCUCGAGAAAAAGCUCGAGGUUUUGUAUGAGAAAAACUUGUCUCUUUUUUAACACUCAUUUUUAUCAGCAUGAAUAAUAAUGAGUAGUUUGUUCUUGAUAUCAUGAGUUUUAUGAAAAGUAUUCUUUGCAUUUUGAGAGCAUUGUUUAUUGUUCUAGGUUGCUUGCUUGCUUGAUUAGAAAGGACUUCUACAGGCACGUAACGUAGGCUGUGGUUUUUGGCUAUGAAAAAAAUGAUUCAUAAGGCUCAAAGAGUGUUUCAGGGUUUCAAAGAUUGAGGAUCACUAUCAACAGUUUAAUUCUUGAUGUCAUUCAUAUUUUCUUUUGCCGCUCUUUUUUGAUUUGCUGCUUUUUAUUUUUUUUAUUGCUUUGCUAGGACAUACUCAAUUUAUCUUGGAUGUCACUUUUUGUAGUCAUUUGAGCAUGCCCCCUAGCAUUUGAGUUUCUUGAGCUCUUAUGCCUUUUUGGCUUUCUCACGGCCUUUUCUCUUUUCUCAAUGAAAUUUUCUCUUGCCCCCUAGUGUGGAGUGUGAUCCUAAUCGGGAUUUAUUUCAUGAAAUAAAAAUUAUUCAGGCUAAAAAAGAGAUCGCAAGGGAUGUACUUAUUUCAGAAUGUGAAAGGAAUAACAAAGAUGACAUUUCCUCAUUUCAAGCACAAGUAGUUAAGAUCAAUAAACUGUGACCUCAUCCAGUAUGAUGGUUUGGUCUUUGCAAAGAUGCAUUUCAUGAAUCAUGAGCAACGAGUUCACUACAUACCAUUAUUCAUACAUUUAAAAACUCAUGAUUCAAAAGUCAUAGGGUAAGGGUGUUUAUUCACUUCUUUUUUUUUCUUUUUUUUUGGUUUAUAAUUUAGUCACCUUAAUGACAGAGUUGCUUGAUUCACUUGUCAUUCUACAAGUAGAAUGUCAAAAUAUCAUUUUUGAAUAAACCUCAAAUUAUUUUUUGAAAUCAAAAUGCCAGAUCAAUUUUUCAAAACUCCAAUAGGGGAACUAAUUUUGGUAAAAGAGAUGAAUUGCGUCUAUGAGACUACACGAGGCUUUAAAAGUGUAUUCGUGAGUUCUUAUAAGAAAACUCUCUUAAGAAGAUGAAUAAUGUUUGGUCGUAAACACAAUUGAAUGACAAACUCAUUAUUUCAUUGAAACUUUAGAAAAGAAGUUCAAUAACAAAGAACUUAUGCCAACAUCUUGGGCUAUGAAAAUUGGCUUGGUAACACAUAAAGGGGCUAAACAUUUAGCAAUCAUUGAUUGGAAUUUCUGGAAUCUUUCAAUCAUUCAUUCUCCUCAACAAGGGCAUCUUUUCAACAAUCAAUUGAAGUCAUAUGUAGAUCAUUCUCGACCUAAUAUCACCAUAGCUUUCUCUUCAAGAUAGUUGAUUUCUGGGAGUCGGCGUGAAGAAAUUAGCUAUAAGAACCAUAAAAGUCUUGGCCACCCCCUUCAGUGAACCCGUUCUUCUCAGUCGGGUUAGCAAUCUUACCUAACCCAAUGGCUUGUUCAAUCCUUUCAACUAUAACAACCAGGUCAGUGAAAUGUUGUGCAGAGCUUCUAACCAAGUAUUCAAAGUACGGAGCUUUAAAGCUGUUGGAAAAUAAACUGAUCAUCUCUUUUUCCAACAUAGGAGGGUUAACUUGUAUAGCUACCUCCCUCCAUCUUUGAGCGUAUUCCCUUAUGGACUCCUUGUUGUCCUUCUCCAUAGCUUGUAAGUUUAACCGAUCAGGGCCCACGUCUAUAUUAAACUUAUAUUGCCUCCUGAAGGCAUCAACUAAAUCCUUCCAUUUUUUAACCUUGGUAUUGUCCAACCGCAUAUACCAAGUGAGGGCAACAUCACUUAAGCUGUCUUGAAAGAAAUGAAUCAGCAGUUUCUCAUCAUCAACCACCUCAGCCAUUUUGUUGCAGUAUGCUUUGAGAUGAGUUAUAGGGCAUUGAGUUCCCGUAUAUUUGAUAAAUUUUGGCACUCUAAACUUUUUGAGAAUGACAACGUUAGGCACCAAACACAUCUCAGCAGCCUUUAUAGGAUCAUGUAGGCGAAUUCCCUCAAAUGCCCUCAUCCUUUGCUCUAGGGCAAUGAAUUUGUUCAGAUCAUCUUCUUUUACCAUCUUGCCUUUUUUAGAUUCCUUCUCGUUUGCUCCCGGAUUCUGUGGAGUGAAGGGAUUUACGAGCAUAGGUUCAGGCUGAGCUAUAUGUAUUGCUUUUUCGAAUUUGUCUCUCAAGGCCUGUUCGAGUAGACUAGUAAGCCUUGCGACUUCUUCUUUAAUAUUGUCCACCUCUUUUUUGUGUUGGGCUUUCAACUGGGCUCUUUCUUCGUUUUCCAUUUGUCUUUUUCUCAAAUGAUUGUUAUAGGUAGGUUUCAAUAGGGAACCUAUAAUUCAACCUGGGAAUGUAAAUCAUGCAAUUUAUGCAAAAAUGUUGAUUCAAUAAAAAAUGCGUAUGAAAUGCGGACUCGCCCUUCACGGGGUGACAAACUAAUAGGAAGAUCCUAAUUGUUGAGUGCAUCAAGGGGUUGGUCAUUAUCUAGUUUCAAAGGGUUUCUCGCAUGCUCAGUGAUCGUCCUUGAAAGGUCGAUAUGAGGCUUACAAGUAGUGUGAAAAUAGAGGCCCUGACUAAUAUCAGUUUGGCAUAUUAACCACUUCCAAGUAAACAAUCAAGCGAGAGCUGGAUGGUUUCACGAGUCUUACCCAAGCUAAAGCCGUUGGGGUACCGUUACUUCCCCACAUAUCCUAGAUUUUCAGGUGUGUGCUCUUAACGUGAUGCAUGACAAUAUAAACAUGGAUGCAUGCUAAAGCAAUAAAUGCAGGAAAAAUAAACAAAUAAACACAACAAACAAACAUUAUAGCAAUUGACAAACAAAAGGCAAAGCUUAGUCCAUUAGUCCCAAUGGAGUCGCCAUUCUGUCGCACCCGACAUCGCGGCGGCCUUAAAAAUAAUAUGGUGGAAUAGAAUGGAUUUCUGGCAUCCUGUUAUUUAAUGGGGAACAGUUUUGUUUAAGGAGUGGCCACCUAGUAUUAUGGUCACUAGGAACCCUAACUGGUCAACAGAGAUUCUAUGGUACGGGACUGGUUAUGCAAAAGAAAAGAUAUUAUCACCCUUUAAACGUCCUGCCUGAGGCAGGCUGCAUUGUUGGUUUUGUCAUAAAUUGCUAACAUUUUGUCGGUUUAUGCUAUGAUGGUUUGCGUGUAAUAUUCAUGACUUUGACGCCAGUGAAUAUUUAACUACGAAUAUUUCCAACUCUGGCGUUGGUAAAUAUUACGCAGCUAUAAAAAAAAUAAAUCUAAAUCAGUAUUUUUUAUUCCUGACUCUGGCGUCAGUGAAUAAACAAAUCAAAUAAAUUUAUUUUUUACGCAUACACAUUUUUUAUGUAACUAAAUAAAAGUAAAAUACAAUAAAAUAAAAUAAAUUUACAUCAGUAUCUUUAUUCCUGACUCUGGCGUCAGUGAAUAAACCAAUAAAUUUACUUUAUUUUAUUUUAUUUUUGCAUGCAUAUUUUUUAUUUUUAUGUAAUUUAAAUAAAAUACAAUGAAAUAAAUUUGAAUCAAUAUUUUUAUUCUGACUCUGACAUCAAUGAAUAAAAACAAUAAAUUCAUAUUUAUUUUUUAUUUAUACAUACACACAUCUUUGUUUUUUUGUUUUGUUUUUUUGGACUGGGCUGGACCCAGCCAGCCCGGCCCGGGUCACUGGCCCAAGCCAGUGACCCGGCUGGGCAAAAUGUGGAGCACGCGUGAAGUGAUUUCACGCGUGCAUUCACUGUGCGAAGGUAAUUAAAUUACCUUCGCACUGUGUUCUUUGAUCAUUUAAUUUCAAAGAACGCAAAGGGAUGAAGAGCUGGCGUACUGCUUCUGGAGUGGCGAAGAUGGCUGCAACGCUGGUGGUGACUUUCGCCUGCUUGAUACCUUUACUUCUGCCUUCCCUUUUUGCUCCUGUGCCCACGGUCUGCUUUCGUUUUCCAGCAGAUUUUGAGAUAAUGAAGGAACCGAGAACGAAGGUGCCGGCUUCUGUGGAUACUGAUUUUUGGGUCGUUUUCUGCAGGGAUGAAAGCAAUGGCAGAACCAAUUAUCCUCUCCGUGUUGUUCCUCUGCUUUUCUUUUGUUUCAAUUCGUGCUCUGCCUUCCCCUGUUUUCUGGUUUUUUUCUCUGGGUUUUGCUCCAGUUCUCUCCUCUGGUUCUGUUUUUUCCCCCCCUGGUUCUGUUUUUUUCGUCUAGGUUUAGCUUGAGUUUUUCCUCGGUUUCUCCUUCAAACCCCCCCUGCUUUUCUUCCUCUGUUUUCUGGGUUUUUCUUCUCUGGUUUUUCGUUCCCCCCCCCCCCCCCUCUCGCUCUGGGUUUUUCUUCCCCUUUUAUAGAGACCCAGCAGCUUGCCUCUAACCAGUCCUGCCUUUGCAGGACUGUUAUCUUCCACGAACGAGAUCGUGGGCAAGAGACGUGGUCCACGAUUGGAUCUGUUGCAGAUUUUCAGGUCUCCGGUUGAAUCGGGAUGAAGAAGAUCACACGACUGUUCCACCAGCAAUGGCGACGUUUCGGCUAAAAGACACAUUUUCAUUUUGACCCCUGCUUCUUUGGAAAUUCGGCAAUUGGAUCUCUAAGCAAUUAAAAAUUUAUUUUAAUUUUGCCCUUUUGGAUUAAUUUCAAUUAAAUCCCUAAAUUAUAACACUGUUUACAAAACAGUCCUUAAUUCCCGGAUUGUUCAAUUUGGCCUUUAAUUAAAUCUUUAACUUUUAAUUCUUUCAAAAUUGAUCAAUUAACUCUCAAAUUUUAUAAUUACAUCCCC